ACGAACGCUGGCGGCGUGCUUCACGCAUGCACGUCGAAUGGUGAAGCGCCUUCCUUUUUGGUGGGUGUGGAUGAGUGGCGAACGGGUGAGUAACACGUGAGUAACCUGCCCCCUUCUUCUGGAUAACCGCAUGAAAGUGUGGCUAAUACGGGAUAUUCUGGGUCUGUCGCAUGAUGGGUCUGGGAAAGAUAUUGUUUCGGUGGGGGAUGGGCUCGCGGCCUAUCAGCUUGUUGGUGGGGUGAUGGCCUACCAAGGCGGUGACGGGUAGCCGGCCUGAGAGGGUGGACGGUCACACUGGGACUGAGACACGGCCCAGACUCCGACGGGAGGCAGCAGUGGGGAAUAUUGCACAAUGGGCGCAAGCCUGAUGCAGCGACGCCGCGUGAGGGAUGGAGGCCUUCGGGUUGUGAACCUCUUUCGCCAGUGAAGCAGGCCUGCCUCGUUUGUGGGUGGGUUGACGGUAGCUGGAUAAGAAGCGCCGGCUAACUACGUG
This 493-nucleotide ribosomal RNA is filed under the name uncultured bacterium. RNAcentral's name for it is "partial 16S ribosomal RNA". It matches the Rfam family "Bacterial small subunit ribosomal RNA", at positions 29 to 507 of the family's 1533-position model. The record is from RNAcentral.